This 494-nucleotide ribosomal RNA is filed under the name uncultured bacterium. RNAcentral describes it as "partial 16S ribosomal RNA". It matches the Rfam family "Bacterial small subunit ribosomal RNA", at positions 30 to 507 of the family's 1533-position model. The record is from RNAcentral.
AUUGAACGCUGGCGGCAUGCUUUACACAUGCAAGUCGAACGGCAGCGGGGAGGAGCUUGCUUCUCUGCCGGCGAGUGGCGAACGGGUGAGUAAUACAUCGGAACGUGUCGAGAAGAGGGGGAUAACCACCCGAAAGGGUGGCUAAUACCGCAUAAAUUCUGAGGAAGAAAGCUGGGGACCUAGGAAUAGGCCUAGCGCUUUUUGAGCGGCCGAUGUCGGAUUAGCUAGUUGGUGAGGUAAAGGCUCACCAAGGCGAAGAUCUGUAGCGGGUCUGAGAGGAUGAUCCGCCACACUGGGACUGAGACACGGCCCAGACUCCUACGGGAGGCAGCAGUGGGGAAUUUUGGACAAUGGGGGCAACCCUGAUCCAGCCAUGCCGCGUGUAUGAAGAAGGCCUUAGGGUUGUAGAGUACUUUUGUUAGGGAAGAAAAGUCAGCUGUGAAUAAUGGCUGAUACUGACGGUACCUAAAGAAUAAGCACCGGCUAACUACGUG